GAUACUGACAGUGGGUUCUGGAUGGUGAACCAACAACUGAACACUUGUCUGUUCCAGGAGCCAUUGUACAGCUCACCAAACACACUGGAAUUCUGCUUGGGUUGCUAGGUAACAGCACAGUGUGAAUGAGGUAUCAGGAGAAUUUGGAAGCUAAUCCUUUUCCUAUGGAGAGAAAAGAUUCACUUAUUGCCUAAAAACAAGCAGGUGUCUCUUUAAAUCGUUUGCCUGUUUUUACCCUCCUAGAUGAUCUUCUAAUCACAUUUUACAUCCAAUAUCCACUUUAAAAUAGAAACAUUAUGACUGAAUAUGAUUCAAAGAACUUCCUGUCCUUUCGUGGUCUGAUUAGCCGUCCUCACUGUUCACUGAUUUGUUAGCAACAACAUCCAUAGCAACGGUUGAGUCUCUCCGAAGCUCCUUGGCGACACAAAGCUGAGCAGAACAAACGCCGCGCUGAGCGCCUCCGGCUACAUUUGGCACUUCGGCCGUUUAUGACGUCGGUUCUGUAUCCGUGAGCAACCAUUGAUCUCCUUUUCCUCCCCGAUCCGUGGAAGCGUCACGUUGCACGGCCGACGCCCCUCAGAGUUACGUCACCCUGUCGUUUUAUAAAACGGAUGAUGGCAAAGACGAAACACAAAUAGCCCAGCGGCGACCUUCGGCUCCCCGACGAGGAAGAGGAGGGUGAGAAAGAGCUGUGACCUUCAACUGCGCCGCUGGAACCAGUUCAGGUCCCAGUAGACUGAGUGAACUGAACAGGUUUACAUUUGUGACGGUCCCACCUGAACACUGUAAACAGAGAACAACCACAGUUUCUACUGCAGAUAUUAUUACAGACUUUAAACAACAAACAUAAACUUAUAGAAAUGAUGACUUUGUUUUACUAAUACAAUAGUUCUAUUGCUAAAUUAGUUGACUUAUAACAAAUUAUUCCUCUAUGUUGAGGACUUUUACUGAUCUGAAAAAAUCUCCUAUACGUUUCUGACUAGUUAAUUCUUCCUCCUUUCAACUACAUGACAGAACGUCACUUGAUACGAUUUGGUGUUUUUACAGUACAGACACAUCAUGUCAUACAUAGACUUAGAGGAAACUGGCUGAGUGCAACUAUUUCAACCUUUUCAUCAGAUAAUAUCUGUCCAAUGGGAUUCUGUAUAUUUAAUACAUAUAUUCAGAAAACAUUAAAUAACUCUUGUACUGCUAUAUAUUUCCUGUAACACAUUGCUGUAUAACUUUUCCUCUUCACUGUUUCUCUGAGUCGCCAGCAUCUCACUGCAGAUACUGGUGACUUCGUAGGAAAACUGUUAAAAGCAGAAAAGAGAAAUUUAAUCCAGUUUGUGGUGAUAAAAUACUGAAAUACAGUCUAAUGACCUAAAUAUCACCAAUAUUAUGGAAAGCUACUCAAUAACCAGCAUUGAAUAAUAAAGGUUUAAAAUGAAGUUGCAUUUCCACCAAUCCGCCACUAGAGGGCAGAAGAAGACCAGGAAACAAAACAUCAGCGACGGCAUCGACCAGGGAGCAAGAGAGAAAUCAUUGUGACCUUUAACCUCUAUGAGGAGCCCUUCAGAAGAGCUGCAUCAGGUCAAAGGUCACUCUCAAACACUCCAGAAGGAAUCCGGCUCACAUCUGUAAACAACUGGACUACAGACAAACAAAACUUAUGACUUUGAUUGGAUUACAAUCACUUGACAUGUUGGAUUAUUAUAUUAUAAUUAUUACAGUGAUGAAGAACCAGAACCAGAUCAGAAAAUUCCAACCGCUGAUCCAGGACCAGAAAUACAGUAGAGAGUCUCUGCUGAUCAGCUGCUCGACCUCCAUUCAUCCUCCUCUUCCUCACACAAACACACACACACACACUGACACACUCCUCCACCAUCGGUUCUCUGGUCGGUUCUGGAUCCCUGAGGGACGCGGCUGCCUGCUGUGAGCAGAAGAACCGGGCCAGAGGGGGUGUGUGUGUGUGUGUGUGUGUGUGUGACUACUCUCAGAAGUCAUGACAAAAUGACCACAAACAUUUCAGAAAAACAUUGAACACCUUUGGAUUCUUUUAUAAAAUAAUCACUUGUUAUUUGAUUUCAUCUUUUUCACCAGAGUUUCCAGUUGGUCCUGGUUUUUCUUUUACUAAUUACAAUUAAAUGCUAAAAAAAAACAAUCUUUCCACCUUUUAUGUUGUAGAAAGUUACAAAAAAUGUUCCCUAGUCGUACAUCUCUUCUUAAUUGUUUACCUAAAUCUCUAGUUUAACUUUAAACACAUUUAGAUUUUAGGUUGAUUACAGCUGAUCACUAAAUAACUUUGAAUUUCAUGUUACAAUUAAAAUGACAGAACUAAACUUCAUCUGGCUGAUUUCACAACAACACAAGUUUCAGAUGGUCACACAUUUUCGAUGCACACGUCUAACAUCUGUAUUUUUGUUAAUACAAAUUCACAUUCAUUAAAAUAAAUAGAUGCACUUUUCAUUUAUAAAGAAACUUCAACAAUAAGACAAUGACCUGAUAAUCACACGACUAGAUUUCACUUUUUGCUAACUUCCUAAAUUGGUCCAACAAUUCUUUACAUCACAUUGCAGAAAGUUAAUAAAUGAGCAUUUUGAAAAAUAAUAACUAAAAGUCAUCAGAGAAUAAUUAUGGUAACUAUAAUUGUGCUACAUUACUCUCGUUAAGUCAGUUAAUUACUUUUAAUACAAACUUUUUUCUACAUAUUUUAACACUUUCAUCUACUAUUUUAAAAUGAGCAAAAUAUAUUAAUUUCUAUCCAUUAAAUACUAAAAUAAGCUGGUUUAACUACCUAAACUUGAUUCUAUGAAUCAGAUCAUUUUUACAGCGUUUAUACUACAGAUUAAGGUUUCAGAUCCGUCUCUCUAUAUAUACAGUUUCUAGAUUUUCACAUUUUUAUUCUCCUAAUAUAUAAAAUGUUGAUUAUGUGAGGCUGAAAACUGAUAGAGAACCAACCAACCAGCCUCCUCUGGUUUAUUUCACAUGAAUCAAGUUGUGCUGUUUUUACUCUCUCUAAAUAUCACAUGUGAAAACCUGACAUGUGUAAUAUGUGAAAUACUUGUAAAGGUUUUCUUUUUUUGCAGUGUAAAGGUGAAACAUUUCUACCUUCCAACUAAUUUUACUGAGAUGUCUGAUUGAAAACUUGGAAUAUGGAUAAAUCAGAGAUUAUUUCAUCACUACUACACUGCAAAAACACAAAAAUAUUAACCAAUAUUUCAUCUACAACUUACUGCAAACAUUUUCCAUUAAAAGCUUCUUUACAGACGCAGAGCAGCUCGUUUCAGGUGAAUCAUCUCUUCAAACUAGUAUUUUAUUUUUAGCACAUUUUCCAUUUUGAGUCAUGAAAUCAUCUGCCUGCGAAAUUUGUUCUUUUUAAUGAUUAUUAAGGAAUUAAUUAU
Long non-coding RNA from Xiphophorus hellerii (green swordtail), 3383 nucleotides. RefSeq lists it as uncharacterized. The transcript is spliced from 2 exons. The record is from RefSeq and is a predicted model, not a curated record. NCBI's taxonomy places the organism in Eukaryota, Metazoa, Chordata, Actinopteri, Cyprinodontiformes, Poeciliidae.